CCCUUAGAUGUUCUGGGCCGCACGCGCGCUACACUGAUGCAUUCAACGGGUCUAAAACCUGGUCUGAUAGGGCUGGGUAAUCUUUUGAAAGUGCAUCGUGAUUGGGAUAGAUGAUUGCAAUUCUUCAUCUUCAACGAGGAAUGCCUAGUAAACGCAAGUCAUCAGCUUGCAUUGAUUACGUCCCUGCCCUUUGUACACACCGCCCGUCGCUCCUACCGAUUGAAUGAUCCGAUGAAUACCAUGGAUUGAGAGUACGAAUGGGUUCGCUCAUUUCUGCUGCUCGAGAAGUGGAGUAAAUCUUAUCAUUUAGAGGAAGGAGAAGUCGUAACA
Molecule: ribosomal RNA, 330 nt
Filed under: uncultured eukaryote
Lineage: Eukaryota
Description: partial 18S ribosomal RNA
Rfam family: Eukaryotic small subunit ribosomal RNA
Source: RNAcentral